GAAAGUAUGCAGAAAAUAAAGUCAUCCCAAAACGAUGCUUCUUUUUCAGAAAGUCAAGAAGAAUCUGCCCCAGAAGUCAUUGUGCUUAAAUCAAAGGAACCCAAAAAAUAUGACAACAAACUGAACAUGGCUUGUUUGGCGAGGAAUUUCUACCCUAAGAACAUCAGCCUGGAUGUGCCCAAGGGUGACACUGUAUAUGAUCUGAAGGCACCUCUUGUCACAUCUGAGGGGAUGUAUAGCACCAUCAAGGUGGUGGGAGUGGAACCAGACGCCGAGGUGACCUGCAAGGCUAUGCACAAGGGGAACAAGGAUACACCCAACACAAUCCUGCCAGAAAAGAAAGCUGAAGAAUUUGAGACAGCUAAUGCUUGCGACAUUACAGAUGCAUCUACAAAAGAUGUCAAAAUGGAGAAAUCAAAUAUGCUGUUCAUGGCUGUUUUGGGUUUGAGAGUCCUGCUGGCAAAAAGCAUCGCCUUCAAUACAAUCAUGAGUAUCAAGCUGUUUCUCUUCUGA
Molecule: non-coding RNA, 513 nt
Organism: Eurypyga helias (sunbittern)
Lineage: Eukaryota; Metazoa; Chordata; Aves; Eurypygiformes; Eurypygidae
Source: the annotation of a RefSeq genome assembly